UACGGCUAUAUAACAUUGUAAAAAGUGGUUCUCGUCCGAUCACUGAAGUUAAACAACGUCGAGUCUGGUCAGUACCUAAAUGGGUGACCGCUUGGGGAUAAUAGGUACCGUAAU
This is a non-coding RNA of Acanthosepion pharaonis, 114 nucleotides long. The record is from the annotation of a GenBank genome assembly. NCBI's taxonomy places the organism in Eukaryota, Metazoa, Mollusca, Cephalopoda, Sepiida, Sepiidae.